RNAcentral lists this unclassified non-coding RNA (348 nucleotides) under soil metagenome. RNAcentral describes it as "partial contains 5.8S ribosomal RNA, internal transcribed spacer 2, and large subunit ribosomal RNA". The stretch from base 1 to 120 matches the Rfam family "5.8S ribosomal RNA", at positions 35 to 154 of the family's 154-position model. The record is from RNAcentral.
GAUGAAGAACGUAGCAAAAUGCGAUAAGUAGUGUGAAUUGCAGAAUUCAGUGAAUCAUCGAAUCUUUGAACGCACAUUGCGCCCGCCAGUAUUCUGGCGGGCAUGCCUGUCUGAGCGUCAUUUCAACCCUCAUGCCCCUAGGGCGUGGUGUUGGGGAUCGGCCAAAGCCCGCGAGGGACGGCCGGCCCCUAAAUCUAGUGGCGGACCCGUCGUGGCCUCCUCUGCGAAGUAGUGAUAUUCCGCAUCGGAGAGCGACGAGCCCCUGCCGUUAAACCCCCAACUUUCCAAGGUUGACCUCAGAUCAGGUAGGAAUACCCGCUGAACUUAAGCAUAUCAAUAAGCGGAGGA